Molecule: ribosomal RNA, 253 nt
Filed under: uncultured bacterium
Lineage: Bacteria
Description: partial 16S ribosomal RNA
Rfam family: Bacterial small subunit ribosomal RNA
Source: RNAcentral
UACGUAGGCAGCAAGCGUUGUUCGGAAUUACUGGGCGUAAAGGGCUCGUAGGUGGCCAACUAAGUCGGACGUGAAAUCCCUCAGCUUAACUGGGGAACUGCGUCCGAUACUGGAUGGCUUGAGUUUGGGAGAGGGAUGCGGAAUUCCAGGUGUAGCGGUGAAAUGCGUAGAUAUCUGGAGGAACACCGGUGGCGAAGGCGGCAUCCUGGACCAACACUGACACUGAGGAGCGAAAGCCAGGGGAGCAAACGGG